Non-coding RNA from Piloderma croceum F 1598, 74 nucleotides. The record is from the annotation of a GenBank genome assembly. Lineage: Eukaryota; Fungi; Basidiomycota; Agaricomycetes; Atheliales; Atheliaceae.
GACCCGAUGGCGAAGUGGUAAUCGCAUCCGUUUACUUUAUACGGAAGUCUCUUGUUCGAUUCAGGAUCGGGUCG